CCUACGGGCGGCAGCAGUGGGGAAUAUUGCACAAUGGGGGAAACCCUGAUGCAGCGACGCCGCGUGAGUGAAGAAGUAUCUCGGUACGUAAAGCUCUAUCAGCAGGGAAGAAAAUGACGGUACCUGACUAAGAAGCCCCGGCUAACUACGUGCCAGCAGCCGCGGUAAUACGUAGGGGGCAAGCGUUCUCCGGAUUUACUGGGUGUAAAGGGAGCGUAGACGGCAGCACAAGUCUGGAGUGAAAUCCCGGGGCUUAACCCCGGAACUGCUUUGGAAACUGUGCGGCUGGAGUGCAGGAGGGGUAAGCAGAAGUCCAAGUGUAGCGGUGAAAUGCGUAGAGAUUAGGAGGAACACCGGUGGCGAAGGCGGCUUACUGGACUAUAACUGACGUUGAGGCGCGAAAGCGUGGGGAGCAAACAGGAUUAGAUACCCGGGUAGUC
RNAcentral lists this ribosomal RNA (440 nucleotides) under uncultured bacterium. Its description in RNAcentral is "partial 16S ribosomal RNA". It matches the Rfam family "Bacterial small subunit ribosomal RNA", at positions 338 to 795 of the family's 1533-position model. The record is from RNAcentral.